Molecule: non-coding RNA, 25 nt
Filed under: Mus musculus (house mouse)
Lineage: Eukaryota; Metazoa; Chordata; Mammalia; Rodentia; Muridae
Source: RNAcentral
UGGUUAUAUGACCGCUUCUGGUAGA